This 496-nucleotide ribosomal RNA is filed under the name uncultured bacterium. RNAcentral describes it as "bacterial SSU rRNA". It matches the Rfam family "Bacterial small subunit ribosomal RNA", at positions 30 to 523 of the family's 1533-position model. The record is from RNAcentral.
AUUGAACGCUGGCGGUAUGCUUAACACAUGCAAGUCGAACGGUAACAGGCCUUCGGGCGCUGACGAGUGGCGGACGGUGAGUAACGCGUAGGAAUCUGCCUCAUAGUGGGGGACAACGUGGGGAAACUCACGCUAAUACCGCAUACGCCCUACGGGGGAAAGCGGGGGAUCUUCGGACCUCGCGCUAUGAGAUGAGCCUGCGUUAGAUUAGCUAGUUGGUAGGGUAAAGGCCUACCAAGGCGACGAUCUAUAGCUGGUCUGAGAGGACGAUCAGCCACACUGGGACUGAGACACGGCCCAGACUCCUACGGGAGGCAGCAGUGGGGAAUAUUGGACAAUGGGCGCAAGCCUGAUCCAGCAAUACCGCGUGUGUGAAGAAGGCCUUAGGGUUGUAAAGCACUUUCAAUUGGGAGGAAAACCUGCCGGUCAAUACCCGGUAGCUUGACAUUACCUUUAGAAGAAGCACCGGCUAACUCCGUGCCAGCAGCCGCGGUAA